This 421-nucleotide ribosomal RNA is filed under the name uncultured bacterium. RNAcentral's name for it is "bacterial SSU rRNA". It matches the Rfam family "Bacterial small subunit ribosomal RNA", at positions 355 to 776 of the family's 1533-position model. The record is from RNAcentral.
UGAGGAAUAUUGGUCAAUGGGGGAAACCCUGAACCAGCGACGCCGCGUGUGGGAUGAAGGGGCUUUGCCUUGUAAACCACUGUCGGAUGGGAAGAAAAGCGCUAUGAAGCGCUGGGACUGUACCAUCAAAGGAAGGAUCGGCCAACUACGUGCCAGCAGCCGCGGUAAUACGUAGGAUCCAAGCGUUGUCCGGAAUUACUGGGUGUAAAGGGUGCGCAGGCGGGCUUGUGCGUCAGAGGUUAAAUCCCACCGCUUAACGGUGGAACUGCCUUUGAUACGGCAAGUCUUGAAUGCGAGCGAGGUAGGUAGAAUUCCUGGUGUAGCGGUGAAAUGCGUAGAUAUCAGGAGGAAUACCAGUGGCGAAGGCGGCCUACUGGCUCGUUAUUGACGCUCAGGCACGAAAGCGUGGGUAGCAAACAGG